GCUUCCGAGGCGUAAUCGACAAGCGCGUUCGGCUGUUAACCGAAAUAUUGGUGUUUAGAGCCCACCCGGAGGCG
Non-coding RNA from Trichonephila inaurata madagascariensis, 74 nucleotides. NCBI's taxonomy places the organism in Eukaryota, Metazoa, Arthropoda, Arachnida, Araneae, Nephilidae. The record is from the annotation of a GenBank genome assembly.